Molecule: ribosomal RNA, 246 nt
Filed under: uncultured bacterium
Lineage: Bacteria
Description: partial 16S ribosomal RNA
Rfam family: Bacterial small subunit ribosomal RNA
Source: RNAcentral
GCCGCGAGGCAGAGCGAACCCCAAAAAGCCGUCUCAGUUCGGAUCGCAGGCUGCAACCCGCCUGCGUGAAGUCGGAAUCGCUAGUAAUCGCGGAUCAGCAUGCCGUGGUGAAUACGUUCCCGGGCCUUGUACACACCGCCCGUCACACCAUGAGAGUCGGGAACACCCGAAGUCCGUAGCCUAACCGCAAGGGGGGCGCGGCCGAAGGUGGGUUCGAUAAUUGGGGUGAAGUCGUAACAAGGUACC